AUUCCAUCUUGUAGAGAAUCUUGGAUAACUGAUUUGUGGUUUCAUGUGUUUCUAAAUUGGCAUGACUGACUAUAUGAGAAGUUAUGUCCUUCCAAGAAAAGGACUUACAGUCAACAAGAUUCCUUGUUUGCUAACCCGUUGGCUGCUACCCAUGAAUCUCCCUAUUUUUCAACAACAAAAAAAGAGAUGUUGCCUGUAAGACCAAAUGUGGGGUAUCUGGUUAUCCUUCCAAAAUAAGGCAAUGACCACAUGUUCAACGCGGAUCAUUCGGUUUGUCAUCGAACUUGACUCAU
Long non-coding RNA from Daphnia pulex (common water flea), 293 nucleotides. RefSeq lists it as uncharacterized. The transcript is spliced from 3 exons. NCBI's taxonomy places the organism in Eukaryota, Metazoa, Arthropoda, Branchiopoda, Diplostraca, Daphniidae. The record is from RefSeq and is a predicted model, not a curated record.